GAUGAACGCUGGCGGCGUGCCUAAUACAUGCAAGUCGAGCGAACGGACGAGAAGCUUGCUUCUCUGAUGUUAGCGGCGGACGGGUGAGUAACACGUGGAUAACCUACCUAUAAGACUGGGAUAACUUCGGGAAACCGUAGCUAAUACCGGAUAAUAUUUUGAACCGCAUGGUUGAAAAGUGAAAGAGGGUCUUGCUGUCCCUUAUAGAUGGAUCCGCGCUGCAUUGGCUAGUUGGUAAGGUAACGGCUUACCAAGGCAACGAUGCAUAGCCGACCUGAGAGGGUGAUCGGCCCCACUGGAACUGAGCCACGGUCCAGACUCCUACGGGAGGCAGCAGUAGGGAAUCUUCCGCAAUGGGCGAAAGCCUGACGGAGCAACGCCGCGUUGGUGAUGAAGGUCUUCGGAUCGUAAAACUCUGUUCUUAGGGAAGACCAUAUGUGUAAGUAACUGUGCACAUCUUGACGGUACCUAAUCAGAAAGCCACGGCUAACUACGUG
RNAcentral lists this ribosomal RNA (497 nucleotides) under uncultured bacterium. RNAcentral's name for it is "partial 16S ribosomal RNA". It matches the Rfam family "Bacterial small subunit ribosomal RNA", at positions 28 to 507 of the family's 1533-position model. The record is from RNAcentral.